AACGAACGCUGGCGGCAGGCCUAACACAUGCAAGUCGAACGAUGUAGCAAUACAUAGUGGCGCACGGGUGAGUAACGCGUGGGAAUGUACCUUUUAGUGGGGGAUAACUCCGGGAAACUGGAGCUAAUACCGCAUACGCCCUUCGGGGGAAAGAUUUAUCGCUAAAAGAUCAGCCCGCGUGAGAUUAGGUAGUUGGUGGGGUAAUGGCCUACCAAGCCUACGAUCUCUAGCUGGUCUCAGAGGAUGAUCAGCCACACUGGAACUGAGACACGGUCCAGACUCCUACGGGAGGCAGCAGUGGGGAAUAUUGGGCAAUGGGCGCAAGCCUGACCCAGCCAUGCCGCGUGAGUGAUGAAGGCUCUAGGGUUGUAAAGCUCUUUCGCCGAUGAAGAUAAUGACGGUAGUCGGAGAAGAAGCCCCGGCUAACUUCGUGCCAGCCGCCGCUGUAA
Molecule: ribosomal RNA, 449 nt
Filed under: uncultured bacterium
Lineage: Bacteria
Description: partial 16S ribosomal RNA
Rfam family: Bacterial small subunit ribosomal RNA
Source: RNAcentral